RNAcentral lists this ribosomal RNA (524 nucleotides) under uncultured bacterium. RNAcentral describes it as "bacterial SSU rRNA". It matches the Rfam family "Bacterial small subunit ribosomal RNA", at positions 355 to 896 of the family's 1533-position model. The record is from RNAcentral.
UGGGGAAUANUGGNCAAUGGACCAAAAGUCUGAUCCAGCAAUUCUGUGUGCACGAUGAAGUUUUUCGGAAUGUAAAGUGCUUUCAGUUGGGAAGAAAAAAAUGACGGUACCAACAGAAGAAGUGACGGCUAAAUACGUGCCAGCAGCCGCGGUAAUACGUAUGUCACGAGCGUUAUCCGGAUUUAUUGGGCGUAAAGCGCGUCUAGGUGGUUAUGUAAGUCUGAUGUGAAAAUGCAGGGCUCAACUCUGUAUUGCGUUGGAAACUGUAUAACUAGAGUACUGGAGAGGUAAGCGGAACUACAAGUGUAGAGGUGAAAUUCGUAGAUAUUUGUAGGAAUGCCGAUGGGGAAGCCAGCUUACUGGACAGAUACUGACGCUAAAGCGCGAAAGCGUGGGUAGCAAACAGGAUUAGAUACCCUGGUAGUCCACGCUGUAAACGAUGAUUACUAGGUGUUGGGGGUCGAACCUCAGCGCCCAAGCAAACGCGAUAAGUAAUCCGCCUGGGGAGUACGUACGCAAGUAUG